Molecule: long non-coding RNA, 672 nt
Organism: Etheostoma spectabile (orangethroat darter)
Lineage: Eukaryota; Metazoa; Chordata; Actinopteri; Perciformes; Percidae
Exons: 4
Source: RefSeq, a predicted model, not a curated record
UGAGUGUGUUUUUACUUCAGUCAAGUUAAUUUAAAUAUUUGGUCGCCUAAAAAUGUCUUAUUCAGCAUUAUGCCAACCAAGCUAGCUAGCUACUGCUAGCGUUAGCUGGUAAGUUAAGUGAUAGUUUGCCGAUUUGAUGUACUACUGCUGCUGGCGGUACCCAAAGGGCAUUUACCAGACGGUAAAUCUCCACUGGAUGACUCGCUUCAGAUGGGUUGAAAAUGGGCAACUUUCACACUUUAGCAUUUAGCUUAGCGCUGACGUCAUUCACAUCCAUAUUAAGUAGCCAUGUGCAGGAGGCGCUGGUAAAGAGAGAGGGGCUGGUUUGUCUCCACCAGAUGCUAAGUUUACCAUCAGCUUUCUUUUUAGCUUGUUUUCUAAAAUAAAUCGCUAUUUGCAGAGUAGCAUGAUUUAGUUGUGUAAGAGACUGCUGGGCAAGAGACUGCAUGCAGACAUUAAUGUUACCUUUUUUAACUUGCCCGCUCAUUUUUUUGCAUCUUAAAAUGAUCCCAAAUUUUCUGCCAUUUUCUCCGCCUUUCUCUUCUCUUAGUCCCUCACUAUUUUUCUCUCUUCCUUCAUUUUGUAAUCUGCCCAGUCAGUCUUCAUGGCAUGUGUCAACAGCAGCAUCAGCCCGUUGUGCGACAGUAAUAAUCAUCUGUGAGGAAACACAGU